GAUGAAGAACGUAGCGAAACGCGAUAGUUAAUGUGAAUUGCAGAAUUCAGUGAAUCAUCGAGUCUUUGAACGCAUAUUGCGCCCUUUGGUAUUCCGAAGGGCAUGUCUGUUUGAGCGUCAUUUUUCAAUUCCUCGCAUAAAUAUUUGCGGUUAUGAGCUAGGUACGUGCAUAUACAUGCCCAAACCAGCUUUAAAGUUGAAUGCUAUGCGGACAAACUGUCUUGCUAAACAAACAUAGUAAAAAAAAUUUCUUCUUUUUUUUUUUUCCUGUUUGAAUAGUGACAUUUGUCUUGCCUCAAAACCAAAAUUAUUAAGUUUUGACCUCAAAUCAGAUAAGGAUACCCGCUGAACUUAAGCAUAUCAAUAAGCGGAGGA
Molecule: unclassified non-coding RNA, 375 nt
Filed under: soil metagenome
Description: partial contains 5.8S ribosomal RNA, internal transcribed spacer 2, and large subunit ribosomal RNA
Rfam family: 5.8S ribosomal RNA (bases 1-120)
Source: RNAcentral